Non-coding RNA from Pangasius djambal, 72 nucleotides. Lineage: Eukaryota; Metazoa; Chordata; Actinopteri; Siluriformes; Pangasiidae. The record is from the annotation of a GenBank genome assembly.
GCUCAGUGGUUAAGACGUUAAGACGUUGGACUCCUGAUCGGAUGGUUGAGAGUUCAAAUCCCAGCAUGACCA